GCCCUUGUAGCUCAGUCGGUAGAGCUUCCGGUUGAAGCCCGGAGAGCACAGGUUCGAUUCCUGUCGAGGGCA
Molecule: transfer RNA, 72 nt
Filed under: Actinomyces graevenitzii
Lineage: Bacteria; Bacillati; Actinomycetota; Actinomycetes; Actinomycetales; Actinomycetaceae
Description: tRNA-Phe
Rfam family: tRNA
About the family: Transfer RNA (tRNA) molecules are approximately 80 nucleotides in length. Their secondary structure includes four short double-helical elements and three loops (D, anti-codon, and T loops). Further hydrogen bonds mediate the characteristic L-shaped molecular structure. tRNAs have two regions of fundamental functional importance: the anti-codon, which is responsible for specific mRNA codon recognition, and the 3' end, to which the tRNAs corresponding amino acid is attached (by aminoacyl-tRNA synthetases). tRNAs cope with the degeneracy of the genetic code in two manners: having more than one tRNA (with a specific anti-codon) for a particular amino acid; and 'wobble' base-pairing, i.e. permitting non-standard base-pairing at the 3rd anti-codon position.
Source: RNAcentral